Molecule: unclassified non-coding RNA, 347 nt
Filed under: soil metagenome
Description: partial contains 5.8S ribosomal RNA, internal transcribed spacer 2, and large subunit ribosomal RNA
Rfam family: 5.8S ribosomal RNA (bases 1-120)
Source: RNAcentral
GAUGAAGAACGUAGCGAAAUGCGAUAAGUAAUGUGAAUUGCAGAAUUCAGUGAAUCAUCGAGUCUUUGAACGCACAUUGCGCCCCCUGGUAUUCCGGGGGGCAUGCCUGUCCGAGCGUCAUUGCCGCCCUCAAGCACGGCUUGUGUGUUGGGCCCCCGCCCCCCGGCUUCGGGGGGCGGGCCCGAAAGGCAGCGGCGGCACCGCGUCCGGUCCUCGAGCGUAUGGGGCUUCGUCACCCGCUCUGUAGGCCCGGCCGGCGCCCGCCGGCGACCCCAAUCAAUCUUUCCAGGUUGACCUCGGAUCAGGUAGGGAUACCCGCUGAACUUAAGCAUACAAUAAGCGGAGGA